RNAcentral lists this small nuclear RNA (106 nucleotides) under Microcebus murinus (gray mouse lemur). The record is from RNAcentral. Lineage: Eukaryota; Metazoa; Chordata; Mammalia; Primates; Cheirogaleidae.
GUGCUUGCUUUAGCAGCACAUAGAGUAAAACUGGAACAAUACAGACAAGAUUAGCAUGGCCCUGUGUAAAGAUGAUAGGCAAAUUCAUGAAGCAUUCUAUAAAUAA